This 282-nucleotide long non-coding RNA is filed under the name Homo sapiens (human). RNAcentral describes it as "HSALNT0208376". Lineage: Eukaryota; Metazoa; Chordata; Mammalia; Primates; Hominidae. The record is from RNAcentral.
GAAAUGCAAAGAACUCGGGGCACUCAAGUUCUCCCUAACCACUCUGUCCCCAGGUCUUAGCCUCCAUCCUAGUUCAAUAAAUAUUUGUUGAAUGCAAAAUCUCUUUAUGAACUGUAAGCUACUAAGCACAUAGUAGUUACUGCCACCAUGUAGUGAUUAUUAUUGGUGCCCUGGGCCAGACUCUUCAUCUGUAAAUUACUGAGGGUAUGGAGUAGAUGAUGAAUAAAGUCCUUGCCAGCUAUAAAUUCUGUGUCCAAGACUUCAGUCUCCACUUCUGCCAAG